UUGAAAGUUGCAGGGCCUCGCUUUGGUGUGGUUUUUCCAGACCUUGAGCAGGCGGGUGUGUACAUGUGAGAGUGUGUGUGUGUGUGUAUCGUAAUCUGUGUGUGUCUCCUGGCUGGCCUUUCUAUUUGCUGCGUAACACCGAGCUUGACUCCCACGGCGGCUCUGAGAUCAGAGGAAAGCUCUGGGUGGCAGAACGCUGGUGUGCAGCUGCAGCUACACACAGGAAGAGGAGAACGCCAUCCCACACACUGCGCUCAGCUCAUGGAGGAGGCGGGAAGUGCUUUACAGUGCGCACUGGCUCUCGUGGCAUGCUUCAGCUCAGCCAAGCUCGAACCAAUCAAACUGGGAGUGUCCUCAUGGACGGAACUACUGUCCGAGCUGCUGUUACAGAGGAUUAACCAAUGCCUUCUGACCUAUCAGAAAUGACAAUUCAACCGUGCUGUGGUAUAAAAGCAUUUUAGCUCAUUCUGUAAAUAUAUCACACUGCACUUAUUGGGGACCUUCUUGUCAUGAGAAUUUGCUGUCAAUAGGAGAAGCAUUUCCAGUCUCAGGAUCAUCUGAUUCAAGCACAUUUG
Long non-coding RNA from Ictalurus punctatus (channel catfish), 575 nucleotides. RefSeq lists it as uncharacterized. Lineage: Eukaryota; Metazoa; Chordata; Actinopteri; Siluriformes; Ictaluridae. The record is from RefSeq and is a predicted model, not a curated record. The transcript is spliced from 3 exons.